Molecule: ribosomal RNA, 497 nt
Filed under: uncultured bacterium
Lineage: Bacteria
Description: partial 16S ribosomal RNA
Rfam family: Bacterial small subunit ribosomal RNA
Source: RNAcentral
GACGAACGCUGGCGGCGUGCCUAAUACAUGCAAGUCGAACGCUGAAGCUUGGUGCUUGCACCGAGCGGAUGAGUUGCGAACGGGUGAGUAACGCGUAGGUAACCUGCCUGGUAGCGGGGGAUAACUAUUGGAAACGAUAGCUAAUACCGCAUAAGAGUAGAUGUUGCAUGACAUUUGCUUAAAAGGUGCAAUUGCAUCACUACCAGAUGGACCUGCGUUGUAUUAGCUAGUUGGUGAGGUAACGGCUCACCAAGGCAACGAUACAUAGCCGACCUGAGAGGGUGAUCGGCCACACUGGGACUGAGACCCGGCCCAGACUCCUACGGGAGGCAGCAGUAGGGAAUCUUCGGCAAUGGACGGAAGUCUGACCGAGCAACGCCGCGUGAGUGAAGAAGGUUUUCGGAUCGUAAAGCUCUGUUGUAAGAGAAGAACGAGUGUGAGAGUGGAAAGUUCACACUGUGACGGUAGCUUACCAGAAAGGGACGGCUAACUACGUG